Molecule: long non-coding RNA, 2714 nt
Filed under: Macaca fascicularis (crab-eating macaque)
Lineage: Eukaryota; Metazoa; Chordata; Mammalia; Primates; Cercopithecidae
Description: lncRNA (ENSMFAG00000051862.1)
Source: RNAcentral
AUUUUAAUGAGAAAAUAACUGUAUACUUGCAUUGAAUGCCUCACAAUCACUAUAAAACCAAAGCAGGAUAAUAACAUUUAAGUGGUUAACAUACACAGGAAAGCCAGAUACAGAGUAUAAUUUCCAAACACAGUAUUGCUGCUUUUUUCCCCCUCCUCCCCCCAAAAAAGAAAAACAAAGAAAACAUAAUUUGGGUAAAGAGCAACACAAAAUCAAAAUUGGCAGCUUACUGAAUGCUUAAAAUUCAGGAAAUUGGUUCUUUAAACUAAAAUGGAAUAUAUUCACCAUCUCUAACACUUAGGCUACUUUUUUUUCAAUACCUAGUUUAAUUAAAUCCAUUCUUUAGUUGGGAAAAAAAAAAGGUUUAAUUACUCAUCUUCAGAGACAAGAAUCAACACUGUUUUAGUGUUCCUUGUAACGCUUUAUAUAUAUAUGUGUGUGUGUAUAUAUAUGUGGACAUUGAUCUAUAUACGGCUUAUAUGUCAUUGUCUAGGGUGAGCAGCAUGCAUGGGUAUGAAUAGGCAAGUAAAUUGCAUUGUGUCAUCCAAGUAAAACACAGCCUGGCCUCCUGCCACUGACAGACCCUGUUUCCAUAAUUUCUGGAUGAGAAAGCCAAGGCAUGUCAGUAGUUAAUCAGCUCGAGGAAAGUGAACACCUAUAAACACGGCAGAAUGCAAUACUUCCAGAAAGGCUUUUAACAUCUACAGAAUCUAAACAUUUUGUAAGAGGUGAGGUUAACAAGCUUGCGUGCUAUUUGGGGGUGGGGCCGAGCAUCAGAGGCAAAGUUUUUCGUAAGCCUCUUUCUCUCGAUGGAUUAGGCAGGAAUGACUUUCCUCCAGGGGACGGUCCCAUCUUCAGAAAGUUAAAAGGGUCCAGUUGGGAUCCCAGAGCCUAGCACGGUGCUAUGUACAAAGCGGUGGCCCAAGGUUUCUUGAAUGAAUAAAAAACUCAAGAGCACAGAGAAAAUCUGGCUCUCCCAAGUAAACUGUAAUUUACAUUUUAAUGGGAUUAUAUUAGGAUCUUCAGUGAGUGGAGCAAGAAAAUAGACAGCAGUAAUCCGGAAGGCAGCACAGGAGUACUAGCAAAAGUUAAGAGUUGUAGGGGCCACAGUGAAAACAGCUUUGUGACUGUGGGAAAGUCCCAGAAAAAGCAUUUCUUUCCUUAUCCACACACGGAGCAUGGCCCAAGAACCCCCAGCUCUGUAUCUUUAAGCAAUAAGUGCUCUGGUUCAGUCAACUGUGGUCAAAGACCACUUCAUCUGCCUCUAAAGCGAUUCCAUGAAUAGUGUGGCCUCUUAAGCUUUUCUCUUAGCUGUACAUUCUCUUGUCAAAUGCAGGUUUCAUGUAGCACAUGGUUUCCUUCAAAACAGAACAAAAAACUUUAAGGCAAGUCAUAAGGAUGGUCUCCUCUUGUGAAAAACGGGGAAGUUAGUCUAUAUCAUGUCUAUGGUCUCUACCAGAUCCAUGAAUCAGAGAAAACAUGAAGCACAUCACAUUUUUUGUGCAAUCCAUAGAACUAUCCUACUCUCCAGCCAUCCUAACUGCCACUGUGCCUGGGGCUGUGCAAUGCUACUGCCUCCUCUGUUCUUAUCCCUGUGUCUGCUUUGGGAAUGCCCCCUAUUGCUGGGUUCUCAGCCCAGGCAUCUGGGACCUCUGGCUGGAAAUCCUCAGGUAAAGACGAUCCUCCUUCCUGGGUCCUCCCAUUUCAUGUCGGGACUUCUAAUCUAACACGGAUCUCAUUUUCCUGAGAAUGUUAGUCUCCAUGCCAGCCUCCCUCACUAUAAAAUGAAUUUCUUGCAACAGGGAUCUUACUUGUUUUGUGACCCCAGCGGCUAGCACAUUUUGUUGAGAAUUCAUUCAAAAUAUUCAGGAGAACAAACCAUAUAAAGAUGGUGCCAAUUGCCCAUGUGCUCUUUUGGCUGCCAUCUGUAGAAUGUGGCUUCAAGUUACUGGUUCCCUUGGCAGUUUUAAAAGAUCCUUGUUAGUAGAUGGUUCCAUUUUUUACUUUGUGCCUACUUCUCAUCUGUGAAUACAUGUCCCCCCCAGAGUCAACACUAGUCUAAUAAAAGAAGGAAAUGUGCAUUAACAUCUACAUACAAAUUUUGUGAAAUUGCUACUUGUUAGAAUAACACACUAGAGCUUAUGACAUAAUAUAAAAACAAAAAUGAUUUUUAGUGAGGUCUGACUUAAUUAUUGCUUUUUUUAAAAACCACAGUUUUAAAACAAAGGAGAAAAAAAGAAAAAAAAAAAAAAAGAAGGCUGGUUGUUUUUUUUUUCUCAAGGCCAGAACUGAAAAUUUUCUCAUCCAGAAAUUUAGGGCACCCAAUUAUUGAAUACCCUUAUCAUAUUGCUUUAAAUGACAGAAAGAUUAAAGCUGGCAUCCUCUAUAGUAUACUAAGCAUGAAUAUAAAGCAUGAGAAUAAAUAGGAGACUUUCCUAAAUGUCAAAUUACAAAACUGCUCAAAACUUUGCAAUUGUGACUCAUGCAAAUACCUUGUUAGGUCAAUUUAAUAUUACAAAUACUGCAUCAGCUCGGUGCCUUUAUAUCCCUUUUCAUAAAAAAGAAAUUCUCACUCCACUCCUGAAGCCAGCAAACAGCUUUGGAGGAAUUACCUGUACACCCAAGUGCCAUGGUCACUCUGGAAUUUUAAUCCACAUACAUACACACAUACACCCUUACUCCUGAACAUACGCAUUUUACACAAACACACAAUG